This 44-nucleotide transfer RNA is filed under the name Phagocata gracilis. RNAcentral's name for it is "tRNA-Gln". The record is from RNAcentral. Lineage: Eukaryota; Metazoa; Platyhelminthes; Tricladida; Planariidae.
UUAGUGUAAAGCACAUUAAGGUUUGUUCUUAAAAGUUUGAAUUA